Long non-coding RNA from Felis catus (domestic cat), 1625 nucleotides. RefSeq lists it as uncharacterized. Lineage: Eukaryota; Metazoa; Chordata; Mammalia; Carnivora; Felidae. The transcript is spliced from 2 exons. The record is from RefSeq and is a predicted model, not a curated record.
GGCAAUAGCCACUUGCAGUCCCUGGGGUUUCCCAGAAAUGCCCAGGACCACUGGCUCCUUCAUGCCCGACACGGUACAAGGGAGGGCCAGAUGGCUCAGCUCGUCCUGUAAGAAAGCCCACCGGGGGGCACAUCACUACAGGGCUCCCCAGUCCCUCCCUCCGGUGAGCCACCGUCACCGGCCUAGCCCGCCAUCCCACGCCCUGGGCCCUUCCUCAGGGCUCCUGGCUCAGUCUGCUCCAAAUAUCUGGCCGUGCCCACGCGGACGGGGACCCCCUCAAAGUGGGCCUCUGGAGAAGCCACACGCUCAUUCCGAUGAAGCUGCUACGACAGAAAUCAAGCCCUGCCCGCGUCGGGUCUGCUCUGUGCCUGAGCCCAUCUGCCCGUCACCCUGGAGCUCAGAUGCAGCUGAGGAAGAAAGUCUACUCUGUCCACAUUUGCCGGGGAGGAAAUGAGACGGAGUCUCUUUUCCCACCAGAACCGCAACAGAUAGCUGGCACCCAGCCCCGAUGGCCUUCCUGUGGGCCGAGCUGGGGAGCAGCUGUGCCCUUCCUGGGACAAGGUGGCCACCAGCGAGCCUCGGGAUCAUCCGGGCAAAUUGGAAAGCUGGGCCCACCCUCGGCUGCAGAGGAGGGGAGGGGUAAGCUGGAGCCAAAGGCCAGACGUGGCCAGUGGGUUUCGGCACAAUCAGGCCUGCUCCGGGCUUCCUGACCUCGUAUCCCUAGACGGCAGGCCUAAUGGGGACGGGGACCCCAGCCUCAUGGGAGGCAGGAGUGGGACUUGAGGCAGACCUCCCCACCAGUACAGAUACGGCUGCGGGGUGCCUUCCCAGUGCCUCGGGCCCCCUCACCACCGUACUCACCUGGGUGUGAGCAGUGAACUCCAGGCUGAGCUGGCGCUCCUCACUGGGACCCAGCGUGCCACGUCUCGGGGAGACCUUGGCCGUGCAGAAGUCUGCUUGGUGCCCCAGCAGCUGGCAGACACGAGGACAGGCCUGUUGUCACCCGCGGGGUUCCCGGCACGGACCCAGGAUCCACGCGGCGCUGGAGGCUGGCAGGCUGGGGGCCCGCAGCGGGACCAGGGGGGCUGCGUGCUCCCUGGUGGGAGUAAUCCGCUGGUCCUUUCCCCUCCCCUUCCCGACCCUGGAUGAACCUCACACCUGUCAGGAGUUGCUGGGCUGAACAAGCUGCCCCGGGAGACCCAGGUUGAUGGUGACCAGAGGGCUGCUGCCUCUGACGGCAGCAACAGACCCUGGGCAACGGACGGGGCCACGGGGGAGAGGAGAGCCUCUCUUCCGGGGAGCACCUGGGGGGCAACGUCCCUCUCCGCACGGGCCUCUGGUGCUGACCGUGCAGGCUCACUCACCUUGCCCCAGUGGAAGCGGGUGGGCAGGAGUGUGCCAUUGAUGAGUCUAAUGGUUGCCUUGGUGGGCACGCCCAGGUAGAGGUUGCUGACUUCCACGUGGCUGUUUUGCAGGUACACGUAGGGCUCCUGUACGUCGGCGUACACAGGAAGGUGGCUGGAACACAAGGAAGAAAGAAGAAACAAAACCAUCUUUAUUUUCAGAUGAUACAAUGGUCUCUGUAGAAAAUCCCAAGGAAUCCAGAUUAAAAAAAAUUUUUUUAA